GACGAACGCUGGCGGCGUGCUUAACACAUGCAAGUCGAACGGAAAGGCCCGGCUUUUGUGGGGUGCUCGAGUGGCGAACGGGGGAGUAACACGUGAGUAACCUGCCCUUGACUUUGGGAUAACUUCAGGAAACUGGGGCUAAUACCGGAUAGGAGCUCCUGCUGCAUGGUGGGGGUUGGAAAGUUUCGGCGGUUGGGGAUGGACUCGCGCCUUAUCAGCUUGUUGGUGGGGUAGUGGCUUACCAAGGCUUUGACGGGUAGCCGGCCUGAGAGGGUGACCGGCCACAUUGGGACUGAGCUACGGCCCAGACUCCUACGGGAGGCAGCAGUGGGGAAUAUUGCACAAUGGGCGGAAGCCUGAUGCAGCCACGCCGCGUGCGGGAUGACGGCCUUCGGGUUGUAAACCGCUUUCGCCUGUGACGAAGCGUGAGUGACGGUAAUGGGUAAAGAAGCACCGGCUAACUACGUG
Molecule: ribosomal RNA, 468 nt
Filed under: uncultured bacterium
Lineage: Bacteria
Description: partial 16S ribosomal RNA
Rfam family: Bacterial small subunit ribosomal RNA
Source: RNAcentral